UUCCGGUUGAUCCCGCCGGAGAUCACCGCUAUUAGAGUUCCACUAACCCAUGCGAGUUCCUGGGUAAAACCAGAGCGAACGGCUGAGUAACACGUAGUUAACAUCACUUUAGGUGGCGAAUAACCUUGGGAAACUGAGAUGAAUACGCCAUAGUCAAUUAUGCCUGGAACGGUUUAUUGACGAAAGCUUCGGCGCCCAAAGAUUGGACUGCGGAGGAUUAGGUCGAUGUUAGGGUAAUGACCUGACAUGCCAAUAAUCCUUAGGGGCCAUGAAAGUGGUAGCCUCCAGAUGGAUUCUGAGACACGAAUCCAGGCCCUAUGGGGCGCAGCAGGGGGGAAAACUCCGCAAUGCACGAAAGUGUGACGGGGGAACUCUAAGUGCCAGCACACUGUGUUGGCUUUUCAUUAGUCCAAAUCGCUAGUGGAAUAGGUGGGGGGUAAGACCGUUGCCAGCCGCCGCGGUAAUAACGGCUCCACAAGUGGUGAUCACGUAUAUUGGGUCUAAAGCAUUCGUAGCCGGUUUGUUAAGUCUUCUGUGAAAUCUGGCAGAAAACUGUCAGGCGUGCAGGAGAUACUGGCAAGCUUGGGACCGGGAGGAGCCUGGAGUACUUUUAGGGUAGGGGUAAAAUCCUGUAAUCCUAAAGGGACUACCUGUGGCGAAGGCGCCAGGCUAGAACGGAUCCGACGGUGAGGAAUGAAAGCGAGGGGAGCAAAGGGGAUUAGAUUGACUUCAGUAGAAUUUUUCGACUGAAGGCCUAAAUACCCCCGUAGUCCUCGCUGUAAACGAUGCCCGCUUGGUAUUGGAAGUUGCUAGACUUCUUCCAGUGCCGUAGGGAAGCCAUUGAGCGGGCCACCUGGGAAGUACAGUCGCAAGGCUGAAACUUAAAGGAAUUGGCGGGGGAGCACACAAGGGGUGCGGUCUGCGGUUCAAUUGGACUCAACGCCGGGAACCUCACCAGGGGUGACAGCAGUAUGAUGGUCAGUCUGAAGGGCUUACCUGACGCGCUGAGAGGUAUUGCAUGGCCGUCGUCAGCUCGUGCCGCGAGAGCUUUUACUAAGGUCUUUCUUAAGAAAGGCUCCGGUAAAGGUGUCCUGUUAACAGGUCGUGGUGCAGUAAAAAUGACAUCACCAUGGAAGCUUCAUAAACACCCUAUAGUGUAUAUCAAGAAAAGUAAAAAAUAAGCAAGAGAGUAAACGCGUAUACCUAAUAAGGGUUUUGGAUUAAUUAUCGAAGCUUUUAUUUUCAAACUCGAAAGAGUUUGAAAAGCUUGGAAAUUCGCAAGAAUUUCCAUGAUCUGACAGAUAGUCCGGUAACGAGCGAGACCCACGCCGUAUGUUGCCAGCUGUUUCUUCGGAAGCGGCGCACUCAUGCGGGACUGCCCGUGCUAAAUGGGAGGAAGGAGUGGUCAACGGUAGGUCAGUAUGGUCCGAAUCCCCUGGGCUACACGCGGGCGCCAAUGGCAAGGACAAUAGGAUGCAACUCCGAAAGGAGGAGCUAAUCCCUGAACCCUUGUCUCAGUACAGAUUGAGGGUUGCAACUCACCCUCAUGACGCCGGAAUCCCUAGUAGGCGAAUGUUAGCAUCUUUCGUCGAAUACGUCCCCGCUCCUUGCACACACCGCCCGUC
RNAcentral lists this ribosomal RNA (1625 nucleotides) under uncultured archaeon. RNAcentral describes it as "16S ribosomal RNA". It matches the Rfam family "Archaeal small subunit ribosomal RNA". The record is from RNAcentral.